UCUCCGUAGGUGAACCUGCGGAAGGAUCAUUAUUGUAUAACCGAGGUGCGAGGGCUGUCGCUGACCCGACAGGUCGUGCACGCCCGAGUGCCCUCACACACAUCCAUCUCACCCCUAUGUGCACCACCGCGUGGGUCCCCCUUUGGCUUGUUCGGAGGGGGGCUUACGUUUUCACACAAACUUUGUAUGCAGUGUAGAAUGUAUUUUUUGUUUUUGCGAUCACGCAAUCAAUACAACUUUCAACAACGGAUCUCUUGGCUCUC
This 263-nucleotide unclassified non-coding RNA is filed under the name plant metagenome. Its description in RNAcentral is "partial contains small subunit ribosomal RNA, internal transcribed spacer 1, and 5.8S ribosomal RNA". The record is from RNAcentral.